Molecule: long non-coding RNA, 261 nt
Organism: Daphnia magna
Lineage: Eukaryota; Metazoa; Arthropoda; Branchiopoda; Diplostraca; Daphniidae
Exons: 3
Source: RefSeq, a predicted model, not a curated record
UUUCUGUUUACCGAAAGAGUCACGACAUACUUUGAUCUCGUUCACGUUUCAACUGGCAUCUUCACAUCGAGGUCGUGCAGACGACAAACGGCCAGCCAGCGAUUGCAUCUUAUCAAUCGGAAACGCUCCAACGUUGUAGGAGAUACGCAGCGUGGAUAGACUUUGAAAUCAGCUCGAGAUCGUUAUCGAUGAAAACAGAGGGAAACCCAGUAAUAGAUAAGCCACACACACAAAUUAAUUAUAAAUAACUCGGUAAUGUAU